This 121-nucleotide small RNA is filed under the name Marmota monax (woodchuck). Lineage: Eukaryota; Metazoa; Chordata; Mammalia; Rodentia; Sciuridae. The record is from RNAcentral.
GCCGGGCACUGUGGCGCAUGCCUGUAAUCCCAGUGGCUCAGGAGGCUGAGACAGAAGGAUUGUGAGUUCAAAGCCAGCCUCAGCAAAAGUGAGGCACUAAGCAACUCAGACCCUGUCUCUA